CUCAUUAUUCCCAUUUUUGUCCCCUCCAGUGAAGAGAUUUCAAACACUGCAGGUGGGGUGAAGGGUCUCCAUCAGUGAAUUCAUAAUAUCUGGAUGCUUUGGUCCAUUGCAUAUACAUGGUCAUGAGACUCCUAAAUUGGACAAUUAACUUAAAUGUCUGAAGCUGGAUGGUACUACUACCCUGGUAUAUCCACUAAAUAUCCACAUCUGCAGCAUAACAGAAGAAGCUCUACGUUCCUUAACUUAUAAAGGCUCAGCUCAGCAGCUACUGUGGAGUUACCAUGUGCUCUCAUCAGCCCCAAGGAUAUCUGAAACAUAAUAUUGCAUUUGCGGAACUGAAACUGUUUUGAAUGCCGAAGGGAUGAACAGAAUACUAUCAGGAAAUGGCUGGAGAGGUAUUUAUAGGCAACUGUGUAUCUGUGGAAAGAGAUGAGAGGGAAAAGGAGAAGGAAGAAUCACCAACAUGAGCCUAUGGAAAAGAAAUAUGAGUAUACUGUGCCAGGUCAAGUUCACAGAGGUUACAUUCACCCAAAAAUUCCACUUAACCUGUGUUUUGGGACUGUGUGUAUUCUCUGUCUAUUCCUAGGGAGAGAAUUUAUUCAUUUGUGCUUUGAGAGCAUUUCUGAAGCAAAAGACUCAUGAGAGAGAUCAGGUGGUAGAAAGAAAUCUGCAUUUACAGAUUUCUAGUGUCUUAAAUGUGCAUGCAAAGUAAAGACAGAAACUUUCUGAAAUAAAAAUUCUGAUUUCAAACUGAA
Passer domesticus (house sparrow) is the source of this 755-nucleotide long non-coding RNA. RefSeq lists it as uncharacterized. Lineage: Eukaryota; Metazoa; Chordata; Aves; Passeriformes; Passeridae. The transcript is spliced from 3 exons. The record is from RefSeq and is a predicted model, not a curated record.